UCAUAUUUGACCCACGUGCCUUUUUAAAAAGUGUGUGUGCACGUUAUGUGGAGGUCAGAGGACAGCUUUUGUGAUUGGUUCUCUCCUUCCACACUGAGCUGUGGAGAUUUAGACGUAGCCUGUCAAGCUUGCAUGACAAGCACUUUUACCUCCUGAGCCAUCUCACCAGCCAGUCCACAUGCCUUUUACACAUUCCUUCUAUAGAUAUUGAGCACCAGCUAUGGCCCAGGCUCGGUUUUGAAAUAGAAACUACAGAAAAAAGGCCAUAGUUGAGUACAAGACAGAGCUAUUUAUACUGUAAGUGCUGUGGUAAAAGAGGACUCUGGUAGCAAACAUCCCAGAGAAGGUUGGGAAGAGUUUCCAAAGGAGGUGAACCCUCCUUAAUUCUUGCCGAAGGGACAAGAGCUAGUCAAUUGUAGGAGUAAAAGAAUGACUGAGAGUGCAUCGUAUGCAAAGGCUCAGACAGGAAAACACUGGGGCCAUUUUAGAGUGGGCCAGUGCAGAGGACUGGGACAUGGGGAAGGGCAUGACAAAGAGGGGCAGAGGCACAUUAGAACAUUGUUGUUUAUAUACAAGGUUUGAACGAGGCAUUGCUCACUCUGCGGUACUGGAGAGAUGGUGAGGGGAUUUUGUUGUAAAGAAGUAAUGCAAAAUAGCAUUUAUAAAACCAGGAAGUUAUGGGAAUGACAGUAAUCCUGCUGAGAGUCUGGCCCUGGAGAUGGUAUAAAAUAUGCAGUGAUGGGUCUGAAGAGUGUCUAGGGGGUGAAAUGAGUAGGCUGUCCUAACUUGUCCAGGUGCUGUGGGAGAAUACAAGGUGACUGCUGGGCAUCUUAAACCAUGGGGUGAGUUGAACAAGAAGGAAAAGCUUGAAGGCAGAGACCAGAAGCAUGGAUUCAUGUCUGUUGCUCUUUCGUGCAAGAUUGGGCGUGACUGGAGUAAAUGAGUUUCAGUGUGAAUGAAUUUAGUGUGUAUGAAAAAUACCCAAGUGAAACUGAGUCUAGGUGUGAAACUUAGGGGGGAGAUGGGAGCUGAAAUUAGCUACUUAGGAGUCGACACUGUGGCAGCACUUGGGAGCCUCAUGACAGGGAGAACCCAAAGUGAAGGUGAGAAUUAAGGCCAGGUGCAGCUUGAAGAAGAGUAGACAGAGGGGUGGCUUGGCCUGCAUGGUGGGCCUCUAGAAGCCAUGAGUGGAGUUCCAGAAAGCCAUAUUUCACAUGAAAAUAAAGCCACAACUCAACUCAGGUCUCAGGGUGAUGCUUUAAAAUGUGUUCCAUUGAGAUCCUUUAUUUGUUUUAAAUAUAUUUUAGGUUUAAAGGAAUUAAAAACCAACAAACUGAAAUGUACUAUCUUAGAAUACUGAGAUCCACUACAUAUAACAUGGAAAAAUAUUGAAAUCUGGGUUAACUAAUUUUUAAGGCAAAUUGGUAGGAUUGCUGCUGAUUUCUGUAGGAAUCAGGACUUUCUCAGUGUAGCACAGAAAUGGCACCUGAGGUGAUAUGUGUCUCCUUGAGAUUCAUUUUAACAUUUAUAACAACAGCCUUAUUGUCUUUAAUGGUGAGCUGAUCAGAUUCUCCAUACCAUUGUUUGUCACUGUAUUGGACUUCAUGUUGUUAUGUCAGGCUGGGGGGGGGGGGGGGGGAGGGGGCGGGUUCAAAGGCUACAGCCAGAAGAAGGGAGCCACUGCCUUCCUGUGGCUCUCCUGCCUCAUGUGGUCAAGUUCUUGGGGCUAAAGUCUGUAGUCUUUCAUGAAAGUUACGUCUUUCAGUUUGUGAAUUUGAUAGUAAAUUCAUGACUAGGACCAGGUCAACAAUGUACAUUUGCAUUGCUUCAGAAGGUUCAUGACUCUGUUAUCCUAAGUGUUCCUCUUUCUUAUGAACUCAGAAGCAUAACUACUUAUAAAUUACUCUCUCAUAGGAAUAAUCUCAAAUGGUAGCAACAAAAAAUAUUCUUUGUACUUGGUUUUAGUCUGCUGUGGUAUUUGAUUUUUUUUCUAGUUUGAGUUACAUUUAUAAUUAGUUUGAAAUAUUUGAGUAGACAUUAUUUGUCACUUGAGCAACAAAUUGAGCAUGUUUGACAUUACAGAAAGGAAAAAGAAGCCACCAGUAUUCAGUUUGCUGAAAAUAUCAUAUAAGUUUUUUAAGUCAACUUGGGAAUUGUCAAAUAAACAAUAACUUU
This 2175-nucleotide long non-coding RNA is filed under the name Mus musculus (house mouse). Its description in RNAcentral is "long non-coding RNA chr13:93410782-93412957". The record is from RNAcentral. Lineage: Eukaryota; Metazoa; Chordata; Mammalia; Rodentia; Muridae.